GACGAACGCUGGCGGCGUGCCUAAUACAUGCAAGUAGAACGCUGAAGGAGGAGCUUGCUUCUCCGGAUGAGUUGCGAACGGGUGAGUAACGCGUAGGUAACCUGCCUGGUAGCGGGGGAUAACUAUUGGAAACGAUAGCUAAUACCGCAUAAUAGUAGAUGUUGCAUGACAUUUGCUUAAAAGGUGCAAUUGCACCACUACCAGAUGGACCUGCGUUGUAUUAGCUAGUUGGUGGGGUAACGGCUCACCAAGGCGACGAUACAUAGCCGACCUGAGAGGGUGAUCGGCCACACUGGGACUGAGACACGGCCCAGACUCCUACGGGAGGCAGCAGUAGGGAAUCUUCGGCAAUGGACGGAAGUCUGACCGAGCAACGCCGCGUGAGUGAAGAAGGUUUUCGGAUCGUAAAGCUUUGUUGUAAGAGAAGAACGAGUGUGAGAGUGGAAAGUUCACGCUGUGACGGUAUCUUACCAGAAAGGGACGGCUAACUACGUGCCAGCAGCCGCGGUAAUACGUAGGUCCCGAGCGUUGUCCGGAUUUAUCGGGCGUAAAGCGAGCGCAGGCGGUUAGAUAAGUCUGAAGUUAAAGGCUGUGGCUUAACCAUAGUACGCUUUGGAAACUGUUUAACUUGAGUGCAAGAGGGGAGAGUGGAAUUCCAUGUGUAGCGGUGAAAUGCGUAGAUAUAUGGAGGAACACCGGUGGCGAAAGCGGCUCUCUGGCUUGUAACUGACGCUGAGGCUCGAAAGCGUGGGGAGCAAACAGG
This 763-nucleotide ribosomal RNA is filed under the name uncultured Streptococcus sp. RNAcentral's name for it is "bacterial SSU rRNA". It matches the Rfam family "Bacterial small subunit ribosomal RNA", at positions 28 to 776 of the family's 1533-position model. The record is from RNAcentral. Lineage: Bacteria; Bacillati; Bacillota; Bacilli; Lactobacillales; Streptococcaceae.